Long non-coding RNA from Prosopis cineraria, 2622 nucleotides. RefSeq lists it as uncharacterized. Lineage: Eukaryota; Viridiplantae; Streptophyta; Magnoliopsida; Fabales; Fabaceae. The record is from RefSeq and is a predicted model, not a curated record. The transcript has 4 exons.
UCACUUUCCAAGAGAAAAGUUCCUAUCCUUGUCUGUGACGCAUGACGGUGAGAGAUAAGCAGUGGAGGUGGAGCGUAUACUAUAUGCAAUACCGCAGACAAGAAAGUGGAAGUUAAACACAUAGCGAGCGAGCUUUCACAAUCCCUCAAUCGCUUUUCUUGAAAAUUGAACUUCCCCAACAAUGCCUACCUCUCUCCCUCUAUCUCUUCCCUUCACCGGUUUUACAUUAGUUAACAUGAUAUCAUGAGCUUGGUUCAACCAAUGGGGCAGAGUAGUUGUGCUUUGCAUUUCAAGGCUGUGACUGAAUUGAAGGAAGCAGGUCGCAUAAUCAAGAAGCUGAUCCACGAAAAGUCAAGAAUUUAGUUUAACAGAAACCAUUCCAGCACGCCGCGUUUCUUGCUUAAUCCACUAACAACUGUCACACGUUCCUGUGCAAGAAUUGAGACGGUGCAUUUUCUUUUGUUCACCGAGUCAUGAUUCUUGAAGGUCCCUUGGCUGUGUUCGCUUGAUCACCGCAUUUGACCCAAGCUAUUGUACUAUCUUUACUUGUGAAAGAAACACCAGGUUCUGAUGUCGAACAAUGCCAAGGACGCAACCACCAGCAGCCGCAAGAACUCGAUGGUGAAGUACGAAAAAUUGAAGCAAAUGGGUGCAGAGCAAAGAAUCAAAUAGCGACAAAGACAAGCAAUGAUGGUGAUCCAAAACAAAGAAGAUCAAGAUCUGAGUCCUCUCAAUGUGUCUUUGUCCUCGCUGAUUAGCUUGCCUGUUGCUGGUGAUUUGAUCUCCAUAACCAGCGGUCUCGUCAUCAUAAACGUACAUUGUCUUCCAUUUUCAUUCGUUGUUAAUUCUUGUCGAUCAACCAUCUCCACAUGACUAUCUCCUCAACUGUGUUGAUGUGCCAUAGCCGCUGCUCCCCUUGAUGAGUUCAAUGGGGAAGAGAUGGGCGACCACUUGAUCACAAUGAUUUUAGACUAGUAAAUAGCCGAGAAUAUGACAGUUACGGAUGAUGAUGAGGAAACUGUGUUUGACCCUGACAUUUGAGCAGUGGUGUUUGCUCGAUUUGAAGGGCUAUAAUCACGAAGGAGAGAGGCUUGAAGUACUUGGUAUCUUUUCAACAUAGACCAAAAUAUCUUGCGGAUUGUUUUCUCCUUGCUUUUUGUUCAACGGAGAUUUUGAUUCUCUAUGAUUUGUAGAAUUGGGCCUUUCGAAACCUUGUUUUUUAUAUGUAUGUCCUGUAUAUUUAAUCUUGCUUCUCAUCUUGGUUCUUGCAAAUUGACUUGGGUUAUUCAAUUUAUUUUGUUCAAGAAUUUAACCUCCUAUGAAUGAUUGUCGAUUUAUAAGUGUUACUCAGCUGAAGUUGUUUUGGGGAAUUGAUUGAUAUAAAAGAAUGACUGACUGUCGGACAUCAUGAAAGUAGGAUAGAGAACCUAGUUGAGUUCUUGGUUAGGUUUGGCAAAGUAGGUGUUGAGGUUGAUCUUGAUUCUAAACUCUUCGCCACAAUCACCUUUGAUGAGCUUGUUCCUGGUUUGAAAGGUGGAACUUCAGUGUCUUCUGGGACUUUCAAGCUGUGACUUUCUGUUUUGAGGUGCUUCCUGGGGUUGUUUGCUGUUAAGAAAGUGACCACCAGAACUUGUACCCCUCCUUAAUACAUGCAGAACAUUAACCAAUUGAGGGAAAAUAAUGUGUACUAGCACGUGGGUCCCUCACAAAGAAGACCGUGGAGGAAUUGUAUUCAUUGGAGAAGAUUUGACGGUGGUUCUUAUUUUGGCCUCAUGUGGGAUUGAGUUAUGUGACUGCCACAACAUUGUUAAGUAUUGUUAAGUGCCGUGUGUGAAGUGGCAUUGAUUUCAAGAAGAAUAAUAAACAAGAUAUGGGUGCAUUCAAGUUCAAAUGUCCCCUGGUGCUGUGAUAAAUCCAGAAAGUGCAUUCACGGUUCAAAUGAUUUUGGUUGUCUAAAUGCAAGGUCUAAAUUUUGGAGCUGGUCCAGCGGUCAUUGAGGGAGAGAAUGAAAGGCUUUGGUUUAACAUGGAUAUGAGUAUUUUGAAGAGAUUUUCAUGAUGAUUUGUCAGUUGAAAAUGUUGGUUUAGUUGACCAAAUUUGCUUGUAGCGAAAUAGACACAAACUCUGGUCGGACAUGAUCCUAUCUUGAUGCAAAAUAACAGGAAGGAAUGAGAUUGUCAUUGGUACUUUUGGUUAAAUAACGGAAACUACUGCACUGUUGGAAAAGGGAGGUUGCUGCUGUUCUGCCAGAAGACCUCAUCUGCAUGGAACACCAGUGUAUUAUUGUCCAGUUUUGGAAGAGCGUGAAUCAUUGACCUCAAAUAAUGGUACGACUGUUUCACUCUCUGCUGGAUUGCUAGCAGGUUUGAACUUGGAAACGGCCACAUCUGAUAGCCUCCUCCUGCACCCUGGCCAUGUGAUGUGGUCUUUGGUCCAACAUCCACAGAUUCUGAAUCUGGAAGAAAAAUAGCUAGUGGUAGUAGUUUUGAAACACUGACUGCAUGUGAAGAUCUUGAAGAAUCAGAUUGUGAAGCUCAAGCAAAUUCUGUACUCUUGCUACCUAAGAAGAUAGGACUAUCAAAAUCAAAUGAAUGUCAUAUAGUAAUGACAGAAGUCUGUCCA